Molecule: long non-coding RNA, 944 nt
Organism: Grammomys surdaster
Lineage: Eukaryota; Metazoa; Chordata; Mammalia; Rodentia; Muridae
Exons: 2
Source: RefSeq, a predicted model, not a curated record
GUCUUGCUGACGGACCCAGUAGUAAUGGAGUGGGCAUGGUUGUCACCUGUCAGUUCAGAGCCAGCAUCUCAGGAACAAGGACUUCCUUCAACGACUGAAAAGUUCCUCUUCUAUCAGGAUGGCAUCAGUGAAGGUCUUCUACAAAUUAGGAUCUGGAACCAACUCUACUUCUGCAAGCCAACUUCUCUAUUUGAGAUUCUCCCUGUGUUUGACACUCCAGACGCUUUGCCAUCUAGUUCUCUGGCCUACUUUAUAGUUCUCAAACUUCCCUGCCUUCCUUUCUGGGCCAAAGCUUCCUACUUUGUCCCCUAGGAAAGGUAUCCCUGGAAUCGGGGACUGAAGAAGUUUCUGUGACAGAUGUUGUCAUUGUUUUGCAUUUCCUCCCAAACCUGCUAUGCUGUGGGACAUUACACCAUGGCCCUGGACUCUAGCCUCACCUUUUUUAGGUCUGUCCAGAUGUCGGGUAAACAGCAUGCCAGAGGAGACCUGCAUUCCUGCAGGCCCCACUUUGAUCAGGGACUUUUGUUCCUUUACACAUGAGGCUUCACAGAGUCUACCCAGUUGCAGGGUCAGUGGCCUCUCUGGGUACUGGCUUUUGGGUUAGGUAGAGCCCAGCUGGGAUGAAUGUUGUACUGGACUACUUAGCAGCUCCUUGACUGCAGAAUGGAAGUCUCGGGCUUUCACACACAGCCCUGGCCUCUCCCAGUUCACCACAGCAGGACGACUGCGUGGGGAGAAAGGCGUCCAAAGCUUGGUUUCACUGGAAGGUUCUGAGAGUCUCUGCUCUGCUCUUCAUUCUGAAAUGUAGCCUCUGUUCUUCACAGUUCUCUGUGUGCAGGGGAGAAAAUGAUAGUCUUCCCCUCCCUCCUCCCUUUCCCGCUCCUUCUCUUGUCCUUUUACCGGAAAUAAACAAACAACAACAAUAAAAAUGAAGCCAUUCUCUC